Pundamilia nyererei is the source of this 408-nucleotide non-coding RNA. The record is from the annotation of a RefSeq genome assembly. NCBI's taxonomy places the organism in Eukaryota, Metazoa, Chordata, Actinopteri, Cichliformes, Cichlidae.
UCAGUCAACACAGCAGAAAGCACAACCACCAUGACUCUCAUCACCAUCCUCAUCUGGACGCUGACCUGCUGCUGUUUUACAGGAGGCAGCGGUCAGGUGACUGUGACUCAACCUCCAGUAGUGACAUCUACUCCUGGAUCCACUGUGACUCUGACCUGUAGGACCAGCCAAGCUGUUUACAGAGAUUCUGAUGAUGAUGAUUAUGUAUUCUGGUAUCAGCAGAAGUCUGGACAGACUCCAAAGCUCCUAAUAAAAUGGGCAAAAACACUUCAGUCAGGAACACCAUCUCGAUUUAGUGGCAGUGGAAGCAGCUCUGACUUCUCUUUGACCAUCAGUGGAGUUCAGGCUGAAGAUGCAGCAGUUUACUACUGUCAGAGUUACCACAGCGGUGGGGUGUUCACACAGUGA